GACGAACCGAGCGAACGUUAUUCGGAAUCACUGGGCUUAAAGGGCGCGUAGGCGGGCAUUCAAGUCUAUGGUGAAAUCCUCCAGCUCAACUGGAGAACUGCCGUGGAUACUGGGUGUCUCGAGGGAGGUAGGGGCGUGCGGAACUAAUGGUGGAGCGGUGAAAUGCGUUGAUAUCAUUAGGAACUCCGGUGGCGAAGGCGGCACGCUGGACCUCGUCUGACGCUGAGGCGCGAAAGCCAGGGGAGCAAACGGG
This 253-nucleotide ribosomal RNA is filed under the name uncultured bacterium. Its description in RNAcentral is "partial 16S ribosomal RNA". It matches the Rfam family "Bacterial small subunit ribosomal RNA", at positions 524 to 776 of the family's 1533-position model. The record is from RNAcentral.